Molecule: ribosomal RNA, 253 nt
Filed under: uncultured bacterium
Lineage: Bacteria
Description: partial 16S ribosomal RNA
Rfam family: Bacterial small subunit ribosomal RNA
Source: RNAcentral
GACGUAGGGCGCGAGCGUUGUCCGGAUUUAUUGGGCGUAAAGAGCUCGUAGGCGGCUCGUUGCGUCGGCUGUGAAAACCCGCAGCUCAACUGUGGGCUUGCAGCCGAUACGGGCGGGCUAGGAUUCGGUAGGGGAGACUGGAAUUCCUGGUGUAGCGGUGAAAUGCGCAGAUAUCAGGAGGAACACCAGUGGCGAAGGCGGUUGCCUGGAGCUUUGCUGACGCUGAUGCGCGAAAGCGUGGGGAGCGAUCCGG